RNAcentral lists this small RNA (690 nucleotides) under Pongo abelii (Sumatran orangutan). RNAcentral's name for it is "processed transcript". Lineage: Eukaryota; Metazoa; Chordata; Mammalia; Primates; Hominidae. The record is from RNAcentral.
GUCUUCAUGAGGGAACAGCCGGGACCUAUGCAUCCAUCCCCUCACCCACAAGAGAGGGAUGAUGCCCCUGAAGGAACUGUCCUAGCCCUGCCUCUGUGUAGAAAGGAGGGAAAGUGCACAGCCAGCCUGGUGAUGCCAUGAGGACCCUGGGUUGUGGACAGGCCGAACAGCAGCUGGUGGACUGCGCCCAGGACUUCAAUAAUCAUGGCUGCCAAGGGGGUCUCCCCAGCCAGGCUUUCGAGUACAUCCUGUACAACAAGGGGAUCAUGGGUGAAGACACCUACCCCUACCAGGGCAAGGAUGGUUAUUGCAAGUUCCGACCUGGAGAGGCCAUCGGCUUUGUCAAGGAUGUAGCCAACAUCACAAUCUAUGACGAGGAAGCAAUGGUGGAGGCUGUGGCCCUUUACAACCCUGUGAGCUUUGCCUUUGAGGUGACUCAGGACUUCAUGAUGUAUAAAAGGGGCAUCUACUCCAGUACUUCCUGCCAUAAAACUCCAGAUAAAGUAAACCAUGCAGUACUGGCUGUUGGGUAUGGAGAAAAAAAUGGGAUCCCUUACUGGAUCGUGAAAAAUUCUUGGGGUCCCCAGUGGGGAAUGAACGGGUACUUCCUCAUCGAGCGCGGAAAGAACAUGUGUGGCCUGGCCGCCUGCGCCUCCUACCCCAUCCCUCUGGUGUGAGCCGUGGCAGCCA